Molecule: transfer RNA, 73 nt
Filed under: Adineta vaga
Lineage: Eukaryota; Metazoa; Rotifera; Eurotatoria; Adinetida; Adinetidae
Also listed under: 5 other names
Description: tRNA-Met for anticodon CAU
Rfam family: tRNA
About the family: Transfer RNA (tRNA) molecules are approximately 80 nucleotides in length. Their secondary structure includes four short double-helical elements and three loops (D, anti-codon, and T loops).
Source: RNAcentral
GCCGCGGUGGCUCAGUCGGUAGAGCGUCAGUCUCAUAAUCUGAAGGUCGUGAGUUCGAUCCUCACCCGGGGCA